Molecule: long non-coding RNA, 1116 nt
Organism: Neopelma chrysocephalum (saffron-crested tyrant-manakin)
Lineage: Eukaryota; Metazoa; Chordata; Aves; Passeriformes; Pipridae
Exons: 3
Source: RefSeq, a predicted model, not a curated record
AAUACCAGGAUGUCAUAGAAUCAUAGAAUAUGCUGAGUUGGAAGGGACCCAUCAAGAUCAUCAAGUCCAACUCCUGGCCCUGUGCAGGAUACCCCAAAAAUCCACACCAUGUGCCUGAGAGUGUUGUCAAAACACCUCUUGAAGUCAGGCAAGCUUAGUGCCGUGACCACUUCCCUGGGGAGCCUGUUCCAAUAGUCAACUACUCUCCAGGCAUCCAGGUAGAACCUUGUUUUUCUCAUUUGCUGGAUCAGCCAUUUGGGAGUGAAGGGCCUGCUGAUUUCAGGAGUGCUAAGAUUAAAAAGCAUAAAUGAAAAACAUGUGGUCUGGUCAAGUGAUUCCAAUGAUACCUGAGCGAAGCCAUAUUACCCAGUUGCAAGGAAAAACAUCAGAUGAAGCCGAGCAAGGCCAAUCCAGGACAGCCCACCCAGUACAACCUCUGUUGCUACUUGUUUGAUAUAAAACUACACAUAGUCAUUCUCUUCAGCCGUCUUUCCUCCCAAGACUUUCUGUGGGUCAAUGAGUUUCCUACCAGACCAAGGGUGUCAUGCAGUUUAUGGCACAUUGUGCCCUGUGAGGAAUCCAGCUCAUUCCUCCACUGAGAGACACCUCUGAAAACACACUCAUGGCCAGAACAAGGGAAGACCAGUGCACUUUCUCCAUAAAUGAGCUGCAGCCAGGCUGCUUCCAGCAGGUUAUGAGCCUGUCUCCUCUGUGGCAGAUGUGGGAUGCAGUUCUUGUGCAAUGUGGGUUAGAGCUUCAUGUGCUCUUCUACAGUCUUCGGGCACCUUUCCCCAGCACAGCCCAACAGAUAUUACAAGGCACAACCUAUCUCUGAUACAAAUCAAAUGGUUAAUCUGCUGUCGUACAACUUCUAUAAAUUUUAUUUACUUUUUUUUUUCCUGGCUCAACAAAUAUACACAAACUAAGGAAGACUGGCCAGACUCUAAGACUAUGCAUGUUUAAUAAUUUCUGGUGUCUCUAGCUGAUUUGGUGCAUUGCUGUGUUUUGCAUCCGAAAAGAGUCAUGAUAUAGCUAAGAGGUGAUUAAGCCCAGGACUUUGUGUAGCAUACUGUAUGCAGGCAAGUGGAACAUUUAUACUGAAAGAAAGCGGUUUUC